GGGCCCAUGGCGGCAGGCUUACACAUGCAGUCGAGCGGUAGCACAGGGGAGCUUGCUCCCCGGGUGACGAGCGGCGGACGGGUGAGUAAUGUCUGGGAAACUGCCUGAUGGAGGGGGAUAACUACUGGAAACGGUAGCUAAUACCGCAUAACGUCGCAAGACCAAAGAGGGGGACCUUCGGGCCUCUUGCCAUCAGAUGUGCCCAGAUGGGAUUAGCUAGUAGGUGGGGUAAUGGCUCACCUAGGCGACGAUCCCUAGCUGGUCUGAGAGGAUGACCAGCCACACUGGAACUGAGACACGGUCCAGACUCCUACGGGAGGCAGCAGUGGGGAAUAUUGCACAAUGGGCGCAAGCCUGAUGCAGCCAUGCCGCGUGUGUGAAGAAGGCCUUCGGGUUGUAAAGCACUUUCAGCGAGGAGGAAGGUGGUGAGCUUAAUACGCUCAUCAAUUGACGUUACUCGCAGAAGAAGCACCGGCUAACUCCGUGCCAGCAGCCGCGGUAAUACGGAGGGUGCAAGCGUUAAUCGGAAUUACUGGGCGUAAAGCGCACGCAGGCGGUUUGUUAAGUCAGAUGUGAAAUCCCCGGGCUCAACCUGGGAACUGCAUUUGAAACUGGCAAGCUAGAGUCUCGUAGAGGGGGGUAGAAUUCCAGGUGUAGCGGUGAAAUGCGUAGAGAUCUGGAGGAAUACCGGUGGCGAAGGCGGCCCCCUGGACGAAGACUGACGCUCAGGUGCGAAAGCGUGGGGAGCAAACAGGAUUAGAUACCCUGGUAGUCCACGCUGUAAACGAUGUCGAUUUGGAGGUUGUGCCCUUGAGGCGUGGCUUCCGGAGCUAACGCGUUAAAUCGACCGCCUGGGGAGUACGGCCGCAAGGUUAAAACUCAAAUGAAUUGACGGGGGCCCGCACAAGCGGUGGAGCAUGUGGUUUAAUUCGAUGCAACGCGAAGAACCUUACCCUACUCUUGACAUCCAGAGAACCUUAGCAGAGAUGCAUUUGGGUGGCUUUCGGGAACUUCUUGAGAACAGGUGCUGCAAUGGCUGUCGUUCAGCUCCGUGUUUGCUGAAAAUGUUGGGUUAAGUUCCCCGCAACCGAGCGCCAAUCCUUUAUUCCUUUUGUUGGCCAGCCGAUUCGAUCGGUGACCUCCAAGGAAAACUUGCCAGUGCAUUAACCUGCACGGAAACGGGUGGGGAUGACGUCAGUUCAUCAUGGUCCUUACGGAGGUAGGGACUUUACCAGCAGCAGUGUGCCAU
This 1249-nucleotide ribosomal RNA is filed under the name Serratia nematodiphila. RNAcentral's name for it is "bacterial SSU rRNA". It matches the Rfam family "Bacterial small subunit ribosomal RNA", at positions 31 to 1238 of the family's 1533-position model. The record is from RNAcentral. Lineage: Bacteria; Pseudomonadati; Pseudomonadota; Gammaproteobacteria; Enterobacterales; Yersiniaceae.